CACCCUUUAAUGUUGUGCAAUUGGACAGGAUUUGGCUUGUCCUGAUUUUGUGUUUGGAGAACUCGGGCUGCCCUUUGUGCUCGAUGUUCUACCUCUUUUUCUCUUGAAGGUCCAGUGGAGAAAUCCGACUGGGUGCGUUUGCAUCACUCACUUGCUGCCUGUUCUUUGUCUGAGUGCAGUGUUUUUCUGAAAUUAAAGCACAGCUUUCUUCUCUUUGCUCACUGUGGGAUUUCCCAGUGUUUCACAAGGUUGCUGUUUGAUGAACAUUUCAAGCUGGCACUGAUGCUGAAAGAAACAGUCGUGUUUUCUUUAUACCUGUUCCCUUGUAUCUAGUCCAGGGUGCACGUGGCUGUAAGAUGGACCAGAACAGGGAGGGAAUCUGGCUCAGAAAAUAGCUGUUUCUGUCUUGUAAUCACAUUUGUUUCAUGUGGUUCCCUUUCAUGACAGGGCUUAGCAGCAGGGCAAAGAAGAGCUGGGGGGAGAAGGAGGAGAAGCCGGGCUUCUCCAGGUGGGGAGCCUUUCUGCUUCCCACCCCAUGUCUCUUUGUCUCUCACUCCGCUAUCUCCUGGAGGUGGCAACAAGUUAAUGUGACUCAGGAGCCAGAAGGUGAGGGGGUUGCUGUGGAUGAAGGCCUACAUUGUGUCCUUCUGAACCCAAGGCUAUUCCCCUCCCCCUUUCCAUUCUUUGGGUUACUCAGCAGAGCUGCUCCGAUUCACAUAAGCUAACAAUCUGUUUGAGAAGAAACAAUUAAGGCCGUAGAAGUUGUUGACAUCCUAUUUUCUUUUUUUUUUUUUUUUUUUUUUCCCCAGUAGCAUAACUGGUACUCCAGCUUAGCUUGUCCUUUUGUGCUCUCCAUCCCUUGCACUGAAUCCAUGAAGAAACCCAUGCGGGUAGAACUUCAGCCCCCACAACCCCUAAACAGCUGGGACCAACAGCUAAAGAAGCUCAGCUUUUCUCACAGUCCACAGUGUAGCUUUUGAGCUGGCUGGUAAUUGGAAACACUGUGCACUCCACUGCUCGGUCUCUCAGGCUCCCUGGCCAGCUGUGGGCUGUUCACCACCAUUGCUGAGCCCGCGGUACAGGGACGAGCCGCAGCGCCCGGUGAGGAUGGACUGUGGUUAUGGGAUGCCAUCAGGUUGGCUUGCGUGUCUUUUUCCAGGAAGCUGAGUGCAUGCUCCCUGCUUCUUCUCUUUUUCAUGAUCUUCAAGAGUUCAGCUUAAAGCAGCUGCAGAUAAAAAACAAGCAUCCUGCUGAAGAAGAGCCAAUGGCCCUGGGAACAGACUGCUUUUAUAAAAAGCCUUACGCGAGCCAGAUGCCCCCCUACCCUGACAAAGACUGAUCAGGUGGCUGCUGGUAUCGCCUUUCACCGCUCUUUGGCAAGGGUGGAAACAGAACGAUGGUGAGUUUUCAGGUGGAGAUGCCUUUUAUUUUUGCUUUGGUGAUGCAGAUGGAAAGAGUCGUUCUGUUCCAUGCAAAGCAGUGCUGUUGUAGGGACAAAAAGGAGGACUAUCGGUGUCUAGGAGCAUGCAUGCAAUUACUGUAAUUCUCACAUGCAGGCUGCUGUGGAUUUAUGCUUUGUGAGAGGUCAGGUCAGAUCAUAGGCAUAGAAGAUAAAUCCAUUGGAUGUAUCUCUGGAGGCUGUGCUGCAAGUCUCUUGGCACGGGGUGAGUUUUGGACAUGCAGUCACUUUGCAGACUGGAGAAGAGAGGAAUACAGGCUGAGCUGAGCCACAAGUCUUUGCAGAACCAAAGCACUGAUUCUUCCUGCAACCACUCUCGGGUUGCUUCUGAGCUGGGUGGUAAGUCAGGAUGUUUCUUCAAAAUGCCACGUAGGGCUUGCAGAGAUUAUUCAGACCGUUUGUUGCAGUGUUGCAACAAAAUCUCCCUCUUUUUCCUUCCCUCUCUCAUAAUCUGGAUCCUGCUCACAUCAGUACCUAACACAAACUUUGUGAAUUAUUCUGGGGAUGAAACAGAAACUGCUUGCUCAAUCCAGCAGCCUGAUGGGUUUUUAUCUCAAGAUGACUGUAUUUUUAUACUUAUAUAUGCGACACAACUCCAACCCUAAACUUGCUCCCACUUCACUUUCAGGCGUUUCCCCAGCACUUCCCCACCCGACCGGCCUCAGCAGGUGUGAGGAUGAGGAGGAUGAAGCCCGGAGUGCGAGCCAGCCCCGCCGGCUGCCGAGUGCCACCAGAGGGUGCUGCUCCGUGCGGCCGGCCGGCAGGGACGGGUGGGAACGGGAGGGAUGAGAGAGGAACGAGGGAGGCUGCGGCCCCCAGCCAGCUCCCUGCCUGCCAGCCCAUGCUGUGGUUGCCAGGCUGCUCGGUUCGGUUGCCCCGCAGCUAGCGAGCUCCGUCUGAUGAACCUCAGCUCCCUCUGGAGAAAACAAGCGUUUGUGGCCGUGUUGAUGUGCAAGGAGAAAAACGUUGACGCCGCAGAUAACGUGUUGUAACUUAAAAAUGCUGACUCACUGGCACUGUGUGCCAACACAAAUGUUGCUGCGGAAAUCAAUCAUCGUGAGAGCCUGGUGAGAUACAACUCCACAGUGUCAUGGGCUUUGAAUGGGCCUCCAAGUUUCUUCUUCAGACAGUUGGCUUGGUAACUCCCAUCGUGUCAGGUUUUUCAGAUCCAAAAACACAGAACUGCUGGAGAUUCCUUGACGUGUAUACAGGCAAAACAGAGCAAGAAAGAAUCCCGUUCAUCCUUGCUGGCCAUUCUGUUUCUGAACUGGGCCAGAAUGAAGCAUCCUACCUUAACAACAGUCCAAAACUCUGCUGGAAUUUGGACUAGCAUCCAAACUCAAGGCACAGGCUCUUCUCUAAAUAAAAAUAACUCGAUCAUAAGCUAUUCUGGGGUGGUGACUUUCAGACAAGAAAUGUAGGGCUUAUAUAGGUUUUUACUUCUGUCAAAUACAUCUGGAUGCUGUACUCCUUCCUGCCGAUACUCUGAACUUGCUCUCUUCAGCUCAGAGACAAAGAACCCCAACUGGAAGCUAGAAAUGGUAGAACAACUGAUGUUACUCAAGGAUUUGCAAUGCGCAGUUUGGGCUAUGGAUGUGAAGGACCAAAUCCUACGCUGCUUAAAGUACAAAAGAGCAAUGGAACUACGUCCAUGCAUAUGAAUACACGGAAUGCUGAAAUCAUUCUACCAUUCUGAAAAACACGUGGUCUAGAGGACUGAUGCUGAGAGAUGUCAUUUAGGAUCAUCUAAUUCAUGAACCUGUAUAUCCUGAUGUAAAUAUAGCUUUUCCCCUGGUUAUAUACUUUCAUUGGUGAAGAUAUCCUUUUUUUAAAAUAAUAAUAAUAAGUAGAUGUUAAAUACUGUGCAUCUAGAACCCCUUACUGGACUUAUAACACCUUUAUAACAGCAUUUUACACAGCACACCACUUUUCCCAUCCUAUCUAGUAUCAGAGGCUUCUCUCAAUCAGCAGAGCUCAUGGAUUGAGACUGGUAUUAAAAUAAAGUUUAACAUCUGCGCAGAUGAUGAAAAUACAAUUUCAAGUUCAGUUUUGUAGUUUGGUAGAUUUUUACUUUUAAAAUGUGUCCUAUGUUUUUAUUCCCGGCUCCUCUGUUUGCUUUGGGUCAAUUGCAAGUUUUCACGUUGAGUUUUGCAGCUUACCUGAUGCAAUACAUACACACCAAAUUAAAAUGACGCACAAGAUUAAAAAGACAGCAGUGUUGAAGUUUAAACAAAAAACAAAAAACACACAAAAAAAGCAGCUAUGUUGUGCUGGAAACAUACUGAAAAGAGAUGUUUCAACACUGCUGGAACUCUUUGUUUUCCUGGUUUUCUUCCUGAAUGAAGUCCUGGCAAAAUCAGCUGGAUUUUGUGAUGUGUUUUGGCUCCAGCAGAGCAGGAUCCUAGCAGCAUUUCUUCUGAUGGCUUGAGAAGAGCAGGAGUGGAGGAGCUCCCCAUGUGGAGGGUUUGGUUCCAGGAGAAGAGUCCUCCUAGCCUAUGAAGAGGAGCGAUUCAACGUGCCUUCCGCUCGGGGGUAGGAGGGGAAGGAGGGAGAGGGACAAGGACACUUCCUUCAUAGCGCUUUGUCAGGGCUUCUGGCCAAGAACGUAAGUCUAAAUACAAGUCGUCGAGCACUGUGCCAGAUCCUGAGAGUUUGGGAGUCCCUUUGUCCAGAAGCUUGCAAAAGUUAAGGUAGUUGCCAAAUGGGAUGUGUGGCAUCCAUGUAAUACAUCUGACGCAUGAAAAUGGGUUCCCGUUGAGCUUACCGCGGUGCCUGGGGCAAAAGUACUUCUGAUUCCCUGCAUGAUGCAGUAAUUACUGGGCUGCUGCUGCUUCUUGCCUAAAACCCAGCUACAAUGGCAGCUCAGGACAACCACCAGCCUCGGGUCAGGCUGAGGCAGGUGACACGCACUCAGGGAGGGGAGGUGGGGCUGCCUUUGGUUCUGCUCUCUCUCUGGGAUGAGAGGACCUGA
Coturnix japonica (Japanese quail) is the source of this 4430-nucleotide non-coding RNA. The record is from RefSeq and is a predicted model, not a curated record. Lineage: Eukaryota; Metazoa; Chordata; Aves; Galliformes; Phasianidae.